Molecule: long non-coding RNA, 534 nt
Organism: Sinocyclocheilus grahami
Lineage: Eukaryota; Metazoa; Chordata; Actinopteri; Cypriniformes; Cyprinidae
Exons: 3
Source: RefSeq, a predicted model, not a curated record
CAGAGAGAAGAUUAAAUAGAACUAAUAAUGUAUAUGUUUCCUUUAACAGAUGCAUUCUGUCCAAAUACUUUACACUUUACAUCCUUAUGUUCGACUUUUUACAUGCAUAGUCUCUAAACGUUCACAUACAGUAUGAAUAUAUAGAGUACAUAGCCAAAGCAAAGAUGUACAUUAAGCAUAUUUACUCAGUGGAUUUAUAAAGUCCUGUCAGUUCGAAAAAACAUUCUUAAAGUAAUGUUUAAAGAAUGCUCUAAUAACUUUAUUAAUAUUUGAUAUACGUUUUUCAUAACGCUGUGCAAAUCAUUCUUGGAACGUCCUUACGAUGUUAUUUGCACAUGCUGAAUGUUCUAAGAAACAUUUUUGUUACAUUUAAAUAACGUUCAAAUCACGACAAGAAAACUAGACAGUUUAAGGUUUAUAGAAUAAUAAAAAAAAACAUUUGAAUAACGUUAUUUUUGGGUGAAAUAGAGUUAGUGGAACAUUGUAAGAAACCUUUUUGUAACCUUUAAAUAGCAUUCUAAUCACAACAAGAAA